GACGCUUGGACUGUGAUUUAGUUUGUUUCCACUUUGACGACUUGGAAUAUAUCGGUUCCGAGAAAAUUGCUAGAAACGAAUCGGUUUUAAGACGACGUUCAUGUCUCUCGUUUUUUCUCUCUUUAGGAAGCGAGCUUGAUAUGCGUGGCGAUCGUUUCUCAAUUUUCAAAGAGUUUAGAUCGGUUUGCAAGAUCUGGCUGAACAGUUAUGG
This 211-nucleotide long non-coding RNA is filed under the name Brassica napus (rape). RNAcentral's name for it is "long non-coding RNA (BNAP_LNC023526)". Lineage: Eukaryota; Viridiplantae; Streptophyta; Magnoliopsida; Brassicales; Brassicaceae. The record is from RNAcentral.